GAGUUCUCCCUGAGACUUWRRGUCUCCUGAAGGAACGUUGAAGACGACGACGUUGAUAGGCCGGGUGUGUAAGCGCAGCGAUGCGUUGAGCUAACCGGUACUAAUGAACCGUGAGGCUUAACCUU
This 125-nucleotide ribosomal RNA is filed under the name Salmonella enterica. Its description in RNAcentral is "partial 23S ribosomal RNA". Lineage: Bacteria; Pseudomonadati; Pseudomonadota; Gammaproteobacteria; Enterobacterales; Enterobacteriaceae. The record is from RNAcentral.